This 2920-nucleotide long non-coding RNA is filed under the name Sus scrofa (pig). Its description in RNAcentral is "lncRNA (ENSSSCG00005013258.1)". The record is from RNAcentral. Lineage: Eukaryota; Metazoa; Chordata; Mammalia; Artiodactyla; Suidae.
UUUUUUUUUCUUUUUUGUCUUUUUAGGGCCGAACCCACAGCCUAUGGAGAUUCCCAGGCUAGGGGUUGAAUUGGAGCUGGAGCUGCCGGCCCACACCACAGCCACAGCAACCUGGGAUCCAAGCUGCGUCUUCGAUCUACCCCACAGCUCAUGGCAUGCCAGAUCCUUAACCCACUGCGUGAGGCCAGGGAUCAAACCCACAUCCUCAUGGAUCCUAGUUGGGUUCCUUAACCCCGGAGCCACGACAGGAACUCCCUCCAGAAUAUUUCUGAAAUUCAUCUUUUCAGCAUGGCCCCGGAUCCUGUUAUUUUAGUUGGGGCUCCUGGAAGUACUUGAACGUGCCCCUCACUGAGCUGACAUCCCCUGCCCCCAGGAUCCUCAACAAGCACCAACACAGUCUCUCUGCAACACAGAUCUGUGUCACGCUCCGAUGAAAUGCCUUCAACAGCUCCUGUCACCUGUGAUGAAGCUCUCGCCCCUUAAUAUACCAUCCCAGGCUGCCCACAGCCCAGCCCCCUCCCUCCCCACCCGGCCUCUUGCUUUGCCAGUCCACGUGGAACCCACAAGGCCUGCAACAUCAACGUGCUUGUUGCCGGGGCGCACACCACACCAUUGCUCAGUUCCAAACCUUCGCCCAUGCUGUUCCGUCUGCCUGGAAUACCUCUCUGCCAUCUUUCCCGAUGCAUUUCAUUCCUUUCCAAGCGCCUAAUCCCUGGUAAUUUUAAAUGUUUCGGAAACCACUGCUCGUAAUAGUUUCUCCGUUUAAUUCCAUGCAUUCAAGAUCUUUUUUCUAGUUCUAAGAUCCAGAUGAAUCUAGAUAUUUGAUGCCGAUCAAUAAGCCUUUCUGAUCCCACUUCUCUCUACUGAAGUGGUCUUGAUUUGCAUUUGCUGAUGAGAGCAAUUUGUCUGCCAUGUCCAUGUGAGGAAUGUCAUUUGAAAAGGCACAGUUCUUCCUCCAAAGAGAAUAACCCACUUAAAAUACCUUCAAACCCAUUGCUUUUCAUCCUCCUUACAUCUUCUCUCCGGGAACUGAGUUCAGAAUCCGGGCUUUCACUGGCCAGAGAAAGAUGCAUUCCUUUCAGUGCAGGCUAGUAGCACACUUCAGAGCCCUUCACCACACAACCUAGAGUAAGGUCUUUAAUUUGUGGUGGCCCCACAAGUGAGCCCUGAGUGAAUCUGAGGCCAAGGACCAAGUAAGUUUGUUUUGUUGGCAGUUUUCCAUAUUGCCACAUAGCCUAUUCCCUGAUCCAGUUGAAGGUAUUUGAGACAUCAUCCGAAAUGCUUUGUUGAAAGAUGUGACAGGGAGUUCCCAUUGUGGCACAACGGAAACAAAUCCGACUAGUGUCCCUGAGGAUGUGGGUUUGAUCCUUGGCCUCACUCAGUGGGUCUGGGAUCCGGUGUUGCCGUGAGCUGGGGUAUAGGUGGCAGACGAGGCUCAGAUCUGGCAUGGCUGUGGCUAUGACAUAGGCCAACAGCUGUAGCUCUGAUUUGACUCCUAGCCCGGGAACUUCUAAGUGCCACACUGUGACCCUAAAAAGCAAAAAAAAAAAAAAAAAAAAAAAGCUGUAACAGCUGUGUUUUCACAAAAAGUUCAGAAUAACGAAAUAAGUACCUGCAGUGGCCCUCUUCAAAGAACUCCAGAAGCUUUGCAUGUCUUGGCAUAUUUACCCUCCUCACAUCCCUCUGAAGUGAGAAAAGGGUUGUUUUAUGCUUUCUCUUGAUCCAGGGAAUGUAAGCUAUGGCAAAGGUGAUGUUUGAGGUAGGUCAGUAGAGAAUGAAAUUGCCUUUAUCUUCUUCCCUUUAGAUUUUGAUCUCUUAUUUCCUGAUUGGUAACAAUUGAACAAUUCGGUCCUUCUAUUCAUUAAAUUUGCUUAUUCAUUCAUUCACUAUCAAAUAUUUACGAAGCACCUGCUGUACAUCAGGCACCAGGUCAAACAUGUCUACAAAGCAGUUUAAGCCUUCACUGUUGUUCAGAAAUUACUUUGGGGCUUGUAGAACUCAAGCCACCUCCAAAAGUGGUUUACUGACCCACAGUCAACCACUGAUGUGGAAUCAUUUAAUCAUUCAUUCAAGUUUAUUUUUGGCAUGCAUCCUGUUCUCUUAAGCUAGGCUGCCUAACGUCCCUCCUAGAUCUAAAUUUCUGUACCUAUAGGUCUUUUUUUUUUUUUAAGCUUUUCAUUUUUUUAAAUUUUAUUUCCCCAAUAAUUUUUUUCCUACUGUGCAGCGUGGUAACCCAGUUACAUAUACACAUAUACAUUCUUUUUUCUCACAUUAUCAUGCUCCAUCAUAAGUGACUAGACAUAAUUCCCAGUGUGUAACUACAGUUUUUUAAAAUUCUUUCUCAUGUCGCAUAUAUUCUACCUUUUGCUAAAUUAAGUUCUUCUUGACAUCUGGACUUUAUGGCUAUUGGGAGAAAAGAACUUGUAGAAUUUCUUUUUUGUCAUUUCAUCCAUAAUAAUAUUUAGAUUAGUAUUCUAUUUGAGGCUAUUAUCUUACUCAGAAGGCAAAUUUUUAAAAUGACAAGGAGCAUACAAAGUUAGAGGGUUUUGUAGAUUUAGAAGGUAGAAUGGCUCGACUUGUAUUCAUUUAGAAGCAACCUAAAUUUGUAAAGAGCCCCCGAGAUGGGAGAUAUUGUGAUGUAACCUCUUAAUAAAAUGAGGUUUUGGAGUUCCUGUUGUAGCUCAGCAGGUUACAAACCCACUAGUAUCCAUGAGGAUGCAGGUUCAAUCCCUGGCCUCACUCAGUGGGUUAAGGAUCCAGUGCUGCCAAAAGCUGUGGCAUUGGUCACGAAUGUGGUUCAGAUCUGAGCAUGGCUGUGGCUGUGGUUUAGCCCGGCAGCCGCAGCUCUGAUUUGACCCCUAGUCUGGGAAUUGACUAUGCCUGAGAUGCGGCCCUAAAAAGAAAAAAAAAAAAAAAAAAA